This is an RNA transcript of Macadamia integrifolia, 2009 nucleotides long. It is a transcript of the gene named COMPASS-like H3K4 histone methylase component WDR5A, with no coding region annotated. The record is from RefSeq and is a predicted model, not a curated record. NCBI's taxonomy places the organism in Eukaryota, Viridiplantae, Streptophyta, Magnoliopsida, Proteales, Proteaceae. The transcript is spliced from 4 exons.
AAAAAGGAUAUAAAAUACUUGGGUCUGCAUCAUCGUCUGAUUAUAAAAUUUAGUCUAGAUAGUGACUUUGUCCGUACUCCCAAGUCCUAACUCCAACGAGACCAGUCGAACUUUCAAAUUUCCCUCGCAGCUUCUUUCAUUAAAUCAAACCUCGGCUUCAACUUUCAAUUCCUACUGCAUUAAUCUCAAUCGAUGGCGGCAGAACCAACUGUAGCCAUGCAACCUUACAAACUCAAUCAAACCCUAACAGGCCACAAGCGAGCCAUCACCAGCGUUAAAUUCUCCAACGACGGCAAGCUCUUGGGCAGCUCAUCAGCCGACAAGACCGUACGCCUUUGCUCGCCGACCGAUGGGUCUCUCCUUAAGGAAUUCGAAGGCCACGAACAGGGUAUCUCUGAUUUUGCAUUCUCUUCCGAUUCCCGUUACAUCUGCUCGGGCUCGGAUGACAAGACGGUACGGAUAUGGGAUGUCCAGACCGGUUCGAUCGUGAAGACACUUCAUGGCCACACCAAUUAUGUCUUCUGUGUUAACUAUAAUCCUCAAUCGAAUAUGAUCGUGUCGGGUUCGUUUGAUGAGACGGUUAGGGUUUGGGAUGUGAAGACCGGGAAAUGCUUGAGGGUGCUCCCAGCCCACUCGGAUCCUGUGACAGCGGUGAACUUUAACCAAGAUGGGUCGUUAAUCGUUUCAAGCAGCUAUGAUGGCUUAUGCAGGAUUUGGGAUGCGUCAACGGGCCAUUGCAUGAAGACUCUCAUUGAUGAUGAAAAUCCGCCGGUUUCUUUUGUCAAGUUUUCGCCUAAUGGAAAGUUUAUUCUCGCCGGCACAUUGGACAACACAUUGAGACUAUGGAACUUCUCUACUGGGAAAUUUCUGAAGACAUACUCUGGCCAUGUUAACUCAAAAUACUGCAUUUCAUCCACAUUUUCUGUAACCAAUGGAAAGUAUAUAGUCAGUGGUUCGGAGGAUAACCUGGUCUACUUGUGGGAACUUCAGACAAGAAAAAUUGUCCAGACACUGGAAGGUCACACGGACACUGUUAUGUCUGUUACAUGUCACCCUUCUGAGAACAUGAUAGCAUCUGGAGGAUUUGAAAAGGACAAGACUGUGAAGAUCUGGACUCAGGGGAAAGACUGAUUCAUUUUUCUGGUUAUUUGUGGCUUGUCUCAAUUGUAUGGCACACCAUUUAUGAAUUUUCACAGGAUUUUUCAAUGGCUCCCAUAGAGUUCAGUCUCUAGACUUUUCCAACUUAAAGACCUCUAAAGUGCUUUAGAGAGGGUCUAGAUUUUCGAGUGAUGGAAUUUGGUAUCUAUGUUUUUCUUGUGGAGUUGAGAUCAUCUGACAAAUACAUUGAAGCACCAUCACCAUUACAAUCAUUGUAUAGAAGGCUUGAAAUGAAUUGGGACUUGAGACAUAUUGGUCGGGUUUUGCCAUCAGCUAGUUCUUGUUUUGCUAACGAGGAACCCCUCAAACUUUUCCGAUUUUACGGUUCUAGCCCAAGGGAAGACCUCAAUUACACGCAACCACACCUAACCCAUGUAACAGAUCAGUUGCAGAGAGCCUCGAACUGGAGGUGUCAUCAGCUAGUCAUUCGUUAUAUUCAUAACAUGGAUAAUUAGGGAAACAAGCUAGGUGAGAGAAGAAAGCUAUAACUUUCUCAUCCAAAUGCAUUCAACUGGAUCUAUAUGGCUUGGACCUCUCAAUUUGGUGAAUUCUUAUUCUAAAGGAGAUUUUGUGUGGCCACUUGAUAAGUUCCCACCUGCCCCAAAGAAGAUUGAUCGUGCCUCUUUUUCAAAGCAUCAAAUUUUCAGGAUCUAUGUUUAAACCAUUUGUGGGGGGGGGGUGUUUUGGUACUGGUUCCUGAUGGUAGUAGAGCAUUGUCUACAUUUUCUUUGUUGUAUUUGAGAGGACAAAAAUAAAAUAAAAUAAAAUGAGUGUUUAGGGGCCUUUAAUAUGUAAAAAGAAUAGAAGGAGGAGAAUUUUUGGUAUACAUUACUCUAAUUACCUUUCUAGAA